Molecule: non-coding RNA, 505 nt
Organism: Mus caroli (Ryukyu mouse)
Lineage: Eukaryota; Metazoa; Chordata; Mammalia; Rodentia; Muridae
Source: RefSeq, a predicted model, not a curated record
CUCCUGUAUUUCUUUAAGUGUGUUAUUAAAGUCCUUCUUGAUGUCCUCUACCAUCAUCAAGAGAUAUGCUUUUGAAUCUGAGUCUAGCUUUUCGGGUGUGUUGGGGUGCCCAGGAGUGGGAGAGGUGGGAGUGCUGUGUUCUGAUGAUGAUGUCUACCAGCUAUUUAACCUCAGGGGUUAUUCAGAUGGUGGAAGGUUUUGAAGACAGCCACAAAGCUGGCUACAGAAUGUUUCUUUUCCAUCAUGUACAAAUGCCCUUUCUGGAUGGAGUUAUCAAUCCACAAAAAAAAAAAAAAAAGGAAAAGAAAAGAAAAGAAAAAGAAGAGAGAAGAAAGAAAAGAAAAAAGAAAGAAAAAAAGAAAAGAAAAGAAAAGAAAAGGGAAGAAAAGAGAAAAAUGAAAAGAAAAAAGAAAAGCAAGAGCUUUCUUCUGUACAAAAAUAAAUAAAUAAAUACAUUUUUCGUGGGAUUUGUUGAGUAGAUAUUGUCUACCAUGAAUCCUGGCAA